RNAcentral lists this ribosomal RNA (468 nucleotides) under uncultured bacterium. RNAcentral's name for it is "partial 16S ribosomal RNA". It matches the Rfam family "Bacterial small subunit ribosomal RNA", at positions 28 to 507 of the family's 1533-position model. The record is from RNAcentral.
GACGAACGCUGGCGGCAUGCUUAACACAUGCAAGUCGAACGGAAAGGCCCUGCUUUUGUGGGGUGCUCGAGUGGCGAACGGGUGAGUAACACGUGAGUAACCUGCCCUUGACUUUGGGAUAACUUCAGGAAACUGGGGCUAAUACCGGAUAGGAGCUCCUGCUGCAUGGUGGGGGUUGGAAAGUUUCGGCGGUUGGGGAUGGACUCGCGGCUUAUCAGCUUGUUGGUGGGGUAGUGGCUUACCAAGGCUUUGACGGGUAGCCGGCCUGAGAGGGUGACCGGCCACAUUGGGACUGAGAUACGGCCCAGACUCCUACGGGAGGCAGCAGUGGGGAAUAUUGCACAAUGGGCGGAAGCCUGAUGCAGCAACGCCGCGUGCGGGAUGACGGCCUUCGGGUUGUAAACCGCUUUCGCCUGUGACGAAGCGUGAGUGACGGUAAUGGGUAAAGAAGCACCGGCUAACAACGUG